This 582-nucleotide ribosomal RNA is filed under the name Chalcostephia flavifrons. RNAcentral's name for it is "partial 12S ribosomal RNA". Lineage: Eukaryota; Metazoa; Arthropoda; Insecta; Odonata; Libellulidae. The record is from RNAcentral.
GAGAAAGUAAGUAAUAUUGGUUUAGCAGUUAAAUUUAUUUGUUUAUUUAAAUCUGAAAUUUUUAGGUGAAAUUUUAAUUUUAUUGUAAUUUGAUUUUUUGAAGCUGCGAAAUUUAUUGUUAAAGACAAGGAUUAGAUACCCUUUUAUAUUAAAUGUAAAUAUAAGCCUGGGUAGUAUUAGCUAUGUUCUUGAAACCCAAAGAAUUUGGCGGUAUUUUAUUCUUUUUAGAGGAACCUGUCCUGUAAUUGAUAGUCCACGAUGGGUAAUUACUUACUUUUGUGUUCAUUUUGUAUACCUCCGUCAUCAGAGUAUCUUCUCAGAGUAAAUAUUCUAUAAUUAUUAAGUAUAAUAUGUCAGGUCAAGGUGCAAUUUAUGGGUAAGUAGAGAUGGGUUACAUUAAGCUUAUUUAUACGGAUUAUUGUUGUUAUUUAUAGUAUGAAGGUGGAUUUAAAAGUAAAGUUAUUGAUCCUUCAAUUCUUGAUUUUAGCUCUAAAAUAUGCACACAUCGCCCGUCGCUCUUAUUUUAAAAUAAGAUAAGUCGUAACAUAGUAGGUGUACCGGAAGGUGUUCCUAGAAAGGUAA